GUAGUUCAAGAUGCAUUAGACCGAGUAAUGAAGAACCGAACAACAGUUGUGGUGGCUCAUCGUUUAUCCACAAUUAAGAAUGCAGAUGUGAUAGCAGUGGUUAAAAAUGGAGUAAUAGUAGAGAAAGGAAAGCAUGAUACUUUGAUUAAUAUUGAAGAUGGAUGUUAUGCCUCUUUAGUAGCACUUCACACUAGUGCUUCCACUUCAUAAGCUUUACAUAUAAGUCUCUUCUAAUAUUUACAAUUUUGGUGGACAUUUACUGUCUUCUGUUUUCCACUUAGAAGGGAAUGUAUAGCUUAAACUUAUCUUCUGUUUCC
Long non-coding RNA from Pistacia vera, 317 nucleotides. RefSeq lists it as uncharacterized. The record is from RefSeq and is a predicted model, not a curated record. The transcript is spliced from 2 exons. NCBI's taxonomy places the organism in Eukaryota, Viridiplantae, Streptophyta, Magnoliopsida, Sapindales, Anacardiaceae.